This is a non-coding RNA of Ameiurus melas (black bullhead), 72 nucleotides long. Lineage: Eukaryota; Metazoa; Chordata; Actinopteri; Siluriformes; Ictaluridae. The record is from the annotation of a GenBank genome assembly.
GCAUUGGUAGUAUAGUGGUGAGCAUAGCACCCUUCCAAGCACUUAACUUGGAUUUAAUUUCCAGCCAAUGCA